GAUGAACGCUGGCGGCGUGCCUAAUACAUGCAAGUCGAGCGAACGGACGAGAAGCUUGCUUCUCUGAUGUUAGCGGCGGACGGGUGAGUAACACGUGGAUAACCUACCUAUAAGACUGGGAUAACUUCGGGAAACCGUAGCUAAUACCGGAUAAUAUUUUGAACCGCAUGGUUCAAAAGUGAAAGACGGUCUUGCUGUCACUUAUAGAUGGAUCCGCGCUGCAUUAGCUAGUUGGUAAGGUAACGGCUUACCAAGGCAACGAUGCAUAGCCGACCUGAGAGGGUGAUCGGCCACACUGGAACUGAGACACGGUCCAGACUCCAACGGGAGGCAGCAGUAGGGAAUCUUCCGCAAUGGGCGAAAGCCUGACGGAGCAACGCCGCGUGAGUGAUGAAGGUCUUCGGAUCGUAAAACUCUGUUAUUAGGGAAGAACAUAUGUGUAAGUAACUGUGCACAUCUUGACGGUACCUAAUCAGAAAGCCACGGCUAACUACGUG
This 497-nucleotide ribosomal RNA is filed under the name uncultured bacterium. RNAcentral's name for it is "partial 16S ribosomal RNA". It matches the Rfam family "Bacterial small subunit ribosomal RNA", at positions 28 to 507 of the family's 1533-position model. The record is from RNAcentral.